AGCGGCGGAUGGGUGAGUAACACGUGGGGAACCUGCCCCUAAGUCUGGGAUACCAUUUGGAAACAGGUGCUAAUACCGGAUAUUAAAGCAGAUCGCAUGAUCAGCUUUUGAAAGGCGGCGUAAGCUGUCGCUAAGGGAUGGCCCCGCGGUGCAUUAGCUAGUUGGUAAGGUAACGGCUUACCAAGGCGACGAUGCAUAGCCGAGUUGAGAGACUGAUCGGCCACAUUGGGACUGAGACACGGCCCAAACUCCUACGGGAGGCAGCAGUAGGGAAUCUUCCACAAUGGACGCAAGUCUGAUGGAGCAACGCCGCGUGAGUGAAGAAGGUUUUCGGAUCGUAAAGCUCUGUUGUUGGUGAAGAAGGAUAGAGGUAGUAACUGGCCUUUAUUUGACGGUAAUCAACCAGAAAGUCACGGCUAACUACGUGCCAGCAGCCGCGGUAAUACGUAGGUGGCAAGCGUUGUCCGGAUUUAUUGGGCGUAAAGCGAGCGCAGGCGGAAAAAUAAGUCUAAUGUGAAAGCCCUCGGCUUAACCGAGGAACUGCAUCGGAAACUGUUUUUCUUGAGUGCAGAAGAGGAGAGUGGAACUCUAUGUGUAGCGGUGGAAUGCGUAGAUAUAUGGAAGAACACCAGUGGCGAAGGCGGCUCUCUGGUCUGCAACUGACGCUGAGGCUCGAAAGCAUGGGUAGCGAACAGGAUUAGAUACCCUGGUAGUCCAUGUCGUAAACGAUGAGUGCUAAGUGU
This 743-nucleotide ribosomal RNA is filed under the name uncultured bacterium. RNAcentral's name for it is "bacterial SSU rRNA". It matches the Rfam family "Bacterial small subunit ribosomal RNA", at positions 94 to 823 of the family's 1533-position model. The record is from RNAcentral.